RNAcentral lists this ribosomal RNA (293 nucleotides) under uncultured bacterium. RNAcentral's name for it is "partial 16S ribosomal RNA". It matches the Rfam family "Bacterial small subunit ribosomal RNA", at positions 338 to 648 of the family's 1533-position model. The record is from RNAcentral.
CCUACGGGGGGCAGCAGUGGGGAAUAUUGCACAAUGGGGGGAACCCUGAUGCAGCAAUGCCGCGUGGGUGAAGAAGCACUUCGGAGCGUAAAGUCCUGUUAUCAGGGACGAAAAUGACAGUACCUGAACAAGAAGCUCCGGCUAACUACGUGCCAGCAGCCGCGGUAAUACGUAGGGGGCAAGCGUUAUCCGGAUUUACUGGGUGUAAAGGGAGCGCAGGCGGCGCGGCAAGUCAGAUGUGAAAACUCGGGGCUCAACCUCCGGACUGCAUUUGAAACUGCUGUGCUUGAGUG